AAAUUGAAGAGUUUGAUCAUGGCUCAGAUUGAACGCUGGCGGCAGGCCUAACACAUGCAAGUCGGGCGGUAGCACAAGGGAGCUUGCUCCCUGGGUGACGAGCGGCGGACGGGUGAGUAAUGUCUGGGAAACUGCCUGAUGGAGGGGGAUAACUACUGGAAACGGUAGCUAAUACCGCAUAACGUCGCAAGACCAAAGAGGGGGACCUUCGGGCCUCUUGCCAUCGGAUGUGCCCAGAUGGGAUUAGCUAGUAGGUGGGGUAAAGGCUCACCUAGGCGACGAUCCCUAGCUGGUCUGAGAGGAUGACCAGCCACACUGGAACUGAGACACGGUCCAGACUCCUACGGGAGGCAGCAGUGGGGAAUAUUGCACAAUGGGCGCAAGCCUGAUGCAGCCAUGCCGCGUGUGUGAAGAAGGCCUUCGGGUUGUAAAGCACUUUCAGCGGGGAGGAAGGGGGCAGGCUUAAUACGCCUGUUCAUUGACGUUACCCGCAGAAGAAGCACCGGCUAACUCCGUGCCAGCAGCCGCGGUAAUACGGAGGGUGCAAGCGUUAAUCGGAAUGACUGGGCGUAAAGCGCACGCAGGCGGUCUGUUAAGUUGGAUGUGAAAUCCCCGGGCUUAACCUGGGAACUGCAUUCAAAACUGACAGGCUAGAGUCUCGUAGAGGGGGGUAGAAUUCCAGGUGUAGCGGUGAAAUGCGUAGAGAUCUGGAGGAAUACCGGUGGCGAAGGCGGCCCCCUGGACGAAGACUGACGCUCAGGUGCGAAAGCGUGGGGAGCAAACAGGAUUAGAUACCCUGGUAGUCCACGCUGUAAACGAUGUCGAUUUGGAGGUUGUGGUCUUGAACCGUGGCUUCCGGAGCUAACGCGUUAAAUCGACCGCCUGGGGAGUACGGCCGCAAGGUUAAAACUCAAAUGAAUUGACGGGGGCCCGCACAAGCGGUGGAGCAUGUGGUUUAAUUCGAUGCAACGCGAAGAACCUUACCUACUCUUGACAUCCAGAGAAGCCUGUAGAGAUACGGGUGUGCCUUCGGGAGCUCUGAGACAGGUGCUGCAUGGCUGUCGUCAGCUCGUGUUGUGAAAUGUUGGGUUAAGUCCCGCAACGAGCGCAACCCUUAUCCUUUGUUGCCAGCACGUGAUGGUGGGAACUCAAGGGAGACUGCCGGUGAUAAACCGGAGGAAGGUGGGGAUGACGUCAAGUCAUCAUGGCCCUUACGAGUAGGGCUACACACGUGCUACAAUGGCGUAUACAAAGAGAAGCGACCUCGCGAGAGCAAGCGGACCUCAUAAAGUACGUCGUAGUCCGGAUUGGAGUCUGCAACUCGACUCCAUGAAGUCGGAAUCGCUAGUAAUCGUAGAUCAGAAUGCUACGGUGAAUACGUUCCCGGGCCUUGUACACACCGCCCGUCACACCAUGGGAGUGGGUUGCAAAAGAAGUAGGUAGCUUAACCUUCGGGAGGGCGCUUACCACUUUGUGAUUCAUGACUGGGGUGAAGUCGUAACAAGGUAACCGUAGGGGAACCUGCGGUUGGAUCACCUCCUUACCGAG
This 1548-nucleotide ribosomal RNA is filed under the name Dickeya zeae. RNAcentral's name for it is "bacterial SSU rRNA". It matches the Rfam family "Bacterial small subunit ribosomal RNA". The record is from RNAcentral. Lineage: Bacteria; Pseudomonadati; Pseudomonadota; Gammaproteobacteria; Enterobacterales; Pectobacteriaceae.